GUCUAGGGAGGCCAGUUGCAAGUGUUAACAACUCCCACUGAAGACCCAGCCAACUGAGUCAAUUCUGAACAUUGUUUCCACCAACCGCGCUAAUACAGGAAGGAAAAGAGCUACCUCCUUUUGGAUGUGAGUUAGCACAUUCUUAUAACAGCAUUUGAAAAAUUCCUUUUCUUCUCCAUCCUUUAGUAAUUUUCCUCUUCUCCUAGGAAGCCUAACAAGCAACCAAUCCAACACAGAAAAUGAAGGAACAUUUUUGACCCAAUUUGCUCUUCAUAAGACCAGAAAAGCACGACGUAGCUAUGAGAAGAUGCAAUUAUUUUUCACUCCUGCGCAUAGGUCUACUUCAAAGGGAAAGGUAAUUUCCUGUUUUUAUACUUAUAUAAACAAGAAUGAAGAGAAACAGUAACUCAUGCUGCUUAUAGAACAAAAGUUUUUUAUGCAAGAAUGAAGUAAAUAUUUGUUACUCAGGUAAGAUGACAUAUAACUUUUCUGUAAAGACAUCUGAUUAGAUGAAAAUGAAC
This 521-nucleotide long non-coding RNA is filed under the name Fukomys damarensis (Damara mole-rat). Its description in RNAcentral is "lncRNA (ENSFDAG00000030305.1)". The record is from RNAcentral. Lineage: Eukaryota; Metazoa; Chordata; Mammalia; Rodentia; Bathyergidae.